Molecule: transfer RNA, 77 nt
Filed under: Candidatus Vogelbacteria bacterium RIFOXYD1_FULL_51_18
Lineage: Bacteria; Candidatus Vogeliibacteriota
Also listed under: 1 other name
Description: tRNA-Met
Rfam family: tRNA
About the family: Transfer RNA (tRNA) molecules are approximately 80 nucleotides in length. Their secondary structure includes four short double-helical elements and three loops (D, anti-codon, and T loops).
Source: RNAcentral
GCCGGGGUAGCUCAGUUGGUUAGAGCGUGGGACUCAUAAACCCAAGGUCGUGAGUUCGAUUCUCACCCCCGGCACCA